CCUACGGGUGGCAGCAGUGAGGAAUAUUGGUCAAUGGGCGCGAGCCUGAACCAGCCAAGUAGCGUGAAGGAUGACUGCCCUACGGGUUGUAAACUUCUGUUAUAAAGGAAUAAAGUGAGGCACGUGUGCCUUUUUGUAUGUACUUUAUGAAUAAGGAUCGGCUAACUCCGUGCCAGCAGCCGCGGUAAUACGGAGGAUCCGAGCGUUAUCCGGAUUUAUUGGGUUUAAAGGGAGCGUAGAUGGGCUGUUAAGUCAGCGGUAAAAGCCCGGGGCUCAACCCCGGCGAGCCGUUGAAACUGGCUGUCUUGAGCUGUCGUGAGGUAUGCGGAAUGCGCAGUGUAGCGGUGACAUGCUUAGAUAUUGCGCAGAACUCCGAUUGCGAAGGCAGCAUACCGGCGGCGAUCUGACGCUGCGGCACGAAAGCGUGGGUAUCGAACAGGAUUAGCUACCCCUGUAGUC
Molecule: ribosomal RNA, 459 nt
Filed under: uncultured bacterium
Lineage: Bacteria
Description: partial 16S ribosomal RNA
Rfam family: Bacterial small subunit ribosomal RNA
Source: RNAcentral